This 76-nucleotide transfer RNA is filed under the name Bacillus phage vB_BanS_Chewbecca. Its description in RNAcentral is "tRNA-Ile". It matches the Rfam family "tRNA". Rfam says of the family: Transfer RNA (tRNA) molecules are approximately 80 nucleotides in length. Their secondary structure includes four short double-helical elements and three loops (D, anti-codon, and T loops). The record is from RNAcentral. Lineage: Duplodnaviria; Heunggongvirae; Uroviricota; Caudoviricetes. RNAcentral also lists the same sequence under 3 other names.
UGGUGGAUUCGUAUAGAGGUAAUACAAUCGGCUGAUAACCGAUAAACGGAAGUUCGAUUCUUCCAUCCACCAUCUA